UUAAUCAAAUAAUUUUCUGUUUACUUUUAAUUUCUAGUUUUCUAAUUUAAUUGUAAUCACAUAAAAUAAGCAAUACAUACAUCAAGAAAAUACAAUCACGUCAUCAUACCAAUUCCAGUAUAUUAUCAUGUAUUUGAAACUGUAAAAUGAACCAAUCAGCUAAACACAGCAAACAGUAAUAAAUAACCGGUUUCGGCUCCAUUAGUGACAUGUAAUUAAUUAUGAAUAUUUUUUAAACUACAUAAAAAACUGUAUUAUUAUCAUAACAAG
RNAcentral lists this long non-coding RNA (270 nucleotides) under Carica papaya (papaya). RNAcentral describes it as "long non-coding RNA (CPAP_LNC007502)". The record is from RNAcentral. Lineage: Eukaryota; Viridiplantae; Streptophyta; Magnoliopsida; Brassicales; Caricaceae.